UCCCCCGCUUCUGGCCGCGAACCGCGCCGGUUAGGGCUGGCUCUCGAACAAAAGCGGGGGCAGUUUCGCGCGACACAUAUAACGCGCAAUAGGGGUUGCGCUCGUUACCCCACUUAAGGGAACACUUCAAAGCACGAGCUGACGACAACCAUGCAGCACCUGCGUACACCGUCCUUGUGAGAAGGACCACGUUUCCGCGAUCCGUCGAUGUACAUUUCAAGCCUUGGUAAGGUUCCUCGCUUACUAUCGAAUUAAACCACAUGUUCCACCGCUUGUGCGAGUCCCCGUCUAUUCCUUUGAGUUUUAAUCUUGCGAUCGUACUUCCCAGGCGGCCUGUUUAACGCGUUAGCUUCGCCACUCCGAGGGUCGAUACUCGAAACAGCAAACAGGCAUCGUUUAG
RNAcentral lists this unclassified non-coding RNA (400 nucleotides) under uncultured bacterium. RNAcentral describes it as "contains 16S-23S intergenic spacer region". The record is from RNAcentral.